Paramuricea clavata is the source of this 298-nucleotide non-coding RNA. The record is from the annotation of a GenBank genome assembly. NCBI's taxonomy places the organism in Eukaryota, Metazoa, Cnidaria, Anthozoa, Malacalcyonacea, Plexauridae.
GUAGGAUUUCUAGCUCUUUUCAUAUUUUAUUUCUUUCUUGCACAGACAAUUAGUCAAUUACAAUCAACUUAUAUUAUCCGUAACAGUUUGAGUUGCUACAUUGAUAUUGUGUGAUAUAUCGAUAGGAACGAAACCGCCAAUUCAUUUAUACUUGUGAUUGCAACACAGGGCAAAUAUUCAUUUCAAAACAAGAGGGAUUGAAGUUGUAGAAAGUGCAUUACAAAAUCUGGAAUUAUUAAAUGCACGAAAUUCGAGAAACUUUGAUAAAAAUUCCUCUUGGGAAACACGGAAAAUUCUC